CACCUGUUGUGGAGAACCUACUUUGUGGUAGUGGUGGGGAGCAGCAGGCUGUUUGGGCUGGUGCUGUCCUGUUGGGUGUUUGAGGAACAAUUCUGAGUACGUUUGUCUUGUGGUUCAGCAGUGGGUAAUUUGCUCUGAUUCGAGCCUCUGCUUAAGGCAGCCUCGUAUCCAAUUCAGUGUAGAACUGUGGCCGUGCCCCUCCUCCACACGCAGGGGACAACUCUACUUCCGCGAUCCCGGAACUUGUGGUUGACCAUCUUCAAGCUUGCUGCUCCCAUGCCACCUGAUGCUGCCGCCCUGUUUCCUGCUGCUGGUUUUAUAGUACUGUUGUGUCUUAUACUUGUACUGUGUUCCUACUCCUCCAGAGUGUGUUGUGUAGUGUUUGUAGUCCUUUGAUUUUGUUGUUGGGGGGGGGGAAAGUGAUUGGAAGCAUUAGCCCUUGUCCCAAUGUUUUGUGUGUGUCCGUCCUUUGUGCUUGUGUGACGGGUUACUCCAUUCUACUGUUGCUUCUACACAUCACCACGGACAACCACUUAGAUCAGGUUUCUUUAUUGCUGGAACAAAGUAUGACGGUGUGGAAUUGUGGGUUCAGCAAAUAAUCUCCAGUCUGGGUAAACACUAUAGCCUACAAAUACUUGAAUGUAGUUGUGGUAGUUGCAAUUGUAUAUGAUAUAUCUAUGAAGCAAAAUAAAACUGUGUGUGUGA
This is a long non-coding RNA of Alosa sapidissima (American shad), 705 nucleotides long. RefSeq lists it as uncharacterized. The transcript is spliced from 3 exons. The record is from RefSeq and is a predicted model, not a curated record. Lineage: Eukaryota; Metazoa; Chordata; Actinopteri; Clupeiformes; Clupeidae.